Long non-coding RNA from Salvelinus sp. IW2-2015, 1432 nucleotides. RefSeq lists it as uncharacterized. NCBI's taxonomy places the organism in Eukaryota, Metazoa, Chordata, Actinopteri, Salmoniformes, Salmonidae. The record is from RefSeq and is a predicted model, not a curated record.
GACAUUCAGAGACUUGUGCCAAAGCCACUCCGGACAGCUCUAGGGAGAGUCUUGGUGGUUCCAAACUUCUUCAUGAACCAACAUCCAUGAGGAACGUUUUUGACUUGAAGAAUCCAUGCUCCAAAGAUUUCAAGCUGUUCUGUAGACAAAGGGGUGUUCGAUCCGGUACUAGAUAGGUGUACCUAAUAAACUAUCUAGUGAAUGUAUAAUCAGGGCCAUGAGUUUUACCUGUACAGGAGCAACUCCUGAUUCAGGCUAUUUACUGUAGCUAGCUCUUCAAAGCGGUACAAAACACGUUUAAGUUGUGUUUUGUUCAUGUUCAAACAAGGAAGACCAUGUCAUGUUUUUUAAAGAGGUAUUCUGCAGUUCGGAUAAUAACAAAGCCGCCACUGAUUUGGUAAACAGAUGAGGAAUGGGGAUGGAGAAAUUGAACCACUCUCAAAUUGCUAGAUCAACUAUGGAUACAGUGACUGACCACUCAUAAUAUAACAAUUAUAGUUUUAACCAUGUUUUGAUAUAGAGUUUUUUACGUGUGCUUUGUUAACAAAUAAAUAAAACAACCUUAUAGUUCUGAUGGGGUGUGACAGUUGAACUAAGCUCAUGCGGCAUCUAUAAGUUAAAUUCUUCAAGAAAUAUUGGGUAGAUUUCAAUAAUUUACAAGGCCAAUAACAGAGGUACCAAUUGCAGAAUGCCAUUUUUUUGAAAGUUUACUUGUGGUGUCAUUGUCACAUGUUGAGCAUUAAUACAAUUUGAAUUCAUUCUGAAAUCAGACGGGGAAUAUCUCUCUCUCUCGAAUGCUAUAGAAUCUAGAUCCUAGAAUUGAGAAAAUGUAUGGAAAAUCAUCCACAUCAAAUCAUCCACCUCUGCUCUGACAAAAGUAAAGUGAUGUAAACAUUGCAUUUUAGUAGUGUAGUCUGGGGCUCUUUCACCUCUGGAAACUCCACUUUAGUCUGGGGUUCUUUCCUGUUUGUGAAAUCUAGCGCAGCCUAAGAAAAAGUCCAGAGAAAAAACCCUUGGUGAAAGUGAAAUCACUGUAGCUUUGUCCUCCCUCAGUGCCCAUAUUAGGAGAGAGAGAGAGAGAGAGAGAGAGAGAGAGAGAAUGUGAGAGAGUGAGAAUGUGUUGCAUGCCUUCUCCACAGCAUGCCUUCAAUUAGGUUAGGGGUUGUGAAAGGGGGCAUCCACUGUCUCCACCCACUCUUCUCCCACAGUUAUUUUCUGGGACACUGCACAAUACAACUUUAUUUGACGGCAGAACAUUCAGAGGCUGUAAGCUUGACACAUGGCAAAAUGAUUCUGCUGUUUCUGAGUCUCGGUUUGGUCACUUCUAACGUCCAGUCAGGAAAAGCAGUGAGACCAGAGCCGUCAAAACGGGUAUCGUCAGGUCCCAUAUCGUCAUUAUCAUCACUGUUCUGGGUGUUCUACUGUUUCUCAU